Molecule: unclassified non-coding RNA, 391 nt
Filed under: uncultured bacterium
Lineage: Bacteria
Description: contains 16S-23S intergenic spacer region
Source: RNAcentral
UCCCAGCCACUUGCGCACGAAUUGCUUCGCGAACAAAUGGCUGGGCAGUCUGAAGUGACAUGUAUAACACUUCACAGGGGUUGCGCUCGUUUCCCGACUGAACGGAACAUCUUACGACACGAGCUGACGACAACCAUGCAGCACCUGGUCUAGCGGCCUCGAAGGACUUCUCAUUUCUGAGAUCUCCAGCUAGAUUUCAAACCCUGGUGAGGUGCCUCGCUUACCGUCGAAUUAAACCACAUGCUCCACCACUUGUGCGGAUCCCCGUCUAUUCCUUUGAGUUUUAAGCUUGCGCUCGUACUUCCCAGGCGGCAUAUUUAACGCGUUAGCUACGGCACAGAAAGGGUCGAUUCUCCCUGCACCUAAUAUGCAUCGUUUAGGGCGUGGACUA